GAUGAACGCUGGCGGCGUGCCUAAUACAUGCAAGUCGAGCGAACAGACGAGGAGCUUGCUCCUCUGACGUUAGCGGCGGACGGGUGAGUAACACGUGGAUAACCUACCUAUAAGACUGGGGUAACUUCGGGAAACCGGAGCUAAUACCGGAUAAUAUAUUGAACCGCAUGGUUCAAUAGUGAAAGACGGUUUUGCUGUCUCUUAUAGAUGGAUCCGCGCCGCAUUAGCUAGUUGGUAAGGUAACGGCUUACCAAGGCAACGAUGCGUAGCCGACCUGAGAGGGUGAUCGGCCACACUGGAACUGAGACACGGUCCAGACUCCUACGGGAGGCAGCAGUAGGGAAUCUUCCGCAAUGGGCGAAAGCCUGACGGAGCAACGCCGCGUGAGUGAUGAAGGUCUUCGGAUCGUAAAACUCUGUUAUUAGGGAAGAACAAAUGUGUAAGUAACUAUGCACGUCUUGACGGUACCUAAUCAGAAAGCCACGGCUAACUACGUG
This 497-nucleotide ribosomal RNA is filed under the name uncultured bacterium. RNAcentral describes it as "partial 16S ribosomal RNA". It matches the Rfam family "Bacterial small subunit ribosomal RNA", at positions 28 to 507 of the family's 1533-position model. The record is from RNAcentral.